Molecule: long non-coding RNA, 935 nt
Organism: Hydra vulgaris (swiftwater hydra)
Lineage: Eukaryota; Metazoa; Cnidaria; Hydrozoa; Anthoathecata; Hydridae
Source: RefSeq, a predicted model, not a curated record
AUUUUUGUAUCUUUUAACUUUAUUAAAUUUAUUAAAGAGGUUCAAUAGUAUCUAUGUUUUGUUUUUAGAGUUGGUUUGUAUUGAUUUAUGCUUAACAACAGAAAAUACAUUUCUGCAACAAAUUUUAGUUUUUUACACAUAAAAGUUAUGAAUAAUGUCCUAUGAAAUGGUUUAUCUAAAUCUAGAAAGUUUACACUUAAUCUGACAACAUUAAUUUGAAUAUUUUUGUUUCAGAUAGUUUAGGAAAGUUUUACUUUCCCCGUGUUUUAAUAUCUUAAACUAUUAGUUUACAGAAUUUGAUAAAAUAAAUAAAAUAAUUUCUGUAUAUUAAAAAUAUAUAGAAUUUGCAAAAUAUACAGGUUUUUCUAUUAUUGACCUGGGCCUCUGUGAAUGGAUAAGUUCUAAGUUAUCUAUGUAUAAUGAUUUUUUAAACCAAUUAAUUAGAGUGUUGCAUAUUUUUUAGAAUCUGCUGUGAAGAAAAUAUAAUAUAUAAUCAUAAAAUGUAGCUCUAAGACAACAUGAAAUUAAACAAUAAAUUGUGGUCCAUGAUAAUUGAAAUAUGUUAUGUUUGACUAAUCAUGAAUAUAACUAUUAUAUAUAUUAAUAUUCAAUCUGGCUAUUGUUAUAACACGUAUAUCGGUUUAUAUACUGUAUUGAGUUAGCUUGUGAUUUGUACGUGUGUUUUUGUUUGCCUAGUGUUUGUUAGUUAUAUGCAAGAUAUGGCAUGGUAUGGCACUCUGCACGCGUAAAAGCGGAUGAAAGCACAAAAGAAACCGAUUACGAUCAACUUUAAAGCAGAAUUUUGUCAUGCGAUUAUGGUGGCGAAAUGAGAGAACUACUGUGGCAGAAUAUUACCAUCGUAGAACAGUUUUGCAUCAAAUCAUUGUAUAAUAUUAGUUAGUUUUUUGUUGCUUAGAAAUAUUAUGAAAUUCAAA